CUACGGGCUGCUCCAGUGAGGAAUAUUGCACAAUGGGGGGAACCCUGAUGCAGCAACGCCGCGUGGAGGAUGACGCAUUUCGGUGUGUAAACUCCUUUUAUGUGUCAAGAAAAUGACGGUAGCAUAUGAAUAAGCACCGGCUAACUCCGUGCCAGCAGCCGCGGUAAUACGGAGGGUGCAAGCGUUACUCGGAAUCACUGGGCGUAAAGGACGCGUAGGCGGGUUGGAAAGUCAGGUGUGAAAUCCUACAGCUUAACUGUAGAACUGCACUUGAAACUUCUAAUCUAGAGAAUGGGAGGGGGAGAUGGAAUUAGUGGUGUAGGGGUAAAAUCCGUAGAUAUCACUAGGAAUACCUAAAGCGAAGGCGAUCUCCUGGAACAUUACUGACGCUAAGGCGUGAAAGCGUGGGGAGCAAACAGGAUUAGAUACCCCCGUAGUC
RNAcentral lists this ribosomal RNA (439 nucleotides) under uncultured bacterium. RNAcentral describes it as "partial 16S ribosomal RNA". It matches the Rfam family "Bacterial small subunit ribosomal RNA", at positions 339 to 795 of the family's 1533-position model. The record is from RNAcentral.